RNAcentral lists this ribosomal RNA (693 nucleotides) under Triticum aestivum (bread wheat). RNAcentral's name for it is "partial small subunit ribosomal RNA". The record is from RNAcentral. Lineage: Eukaryota; Viridiplantae; Streptophyta; Magnoliopsida; Poales; Poaceae.
AUGGAUGGUGUUUACGGAAGAAUAGAGGUCUUCCCGCAGCACUUCACGCCCGAGAAAGAGCCCAUGGACGGUGCUGAUGGUCUGUCCACAAGUAAGAGCAACAUGGAUCCGUCACCAAGUCCACGUAGGCGUUCUUGGACCCCGAAACGAGUCAAGGGAGUUUAUCGCUUCUGCAACUGUUGUCUAUUCCUUGCAUUAGGUGGUCUUCCAGCAACAAGGAUGAUGAUAAGGUUACAAUGUUUUCUAACCAUAUCGAACCUCUGUUUCUGUCAUGUAUCACGAAUCCUGUCUUACAAGUACACCGACGGUUUUCACUGUUAUCAGACCGAAUUGACAAGAGCUGAAGUAGAAUCAUUACGAAGCGAAAUUACCAAUGCCGAUGAAAGGGUGUCCCAGCUAAAAGCCCGGUUAGAAAAUAUUGACGAAGCCUUGAGAUAUGCACUCCUUUCCGGGUACCUCCAUAUCAGAAGUAGAUGGACUCAACUUCCUGGGGAGCCACCUAUCAUAGACGACGCCGAUGUCGAUGACUGGCUUCCUCGCUUUGUUGUCCUACAAGGACAGUGUUUAUACUACUAUCUGAAGUGUACUGAGGCGAACCUUGUGUCUGCUACAUCGAUGAGUUUAGUGGCUAUUGUGUAUGGUGGAAUAAAGUCAAGUUAUAUAAUCACAAUACCCAUAACCUACGGAAGAUAA